RNAcentral lists this long non-coding RNA (1360 nucleotides) under Danio rerio (zebrafish). RNAcentral's name for it is "lncRNA (ENSDARG00000117593.1)". The record is from RNAcentral. Lineage: Eukaryota; Metazoa; Chordata; Actinopteri; Cypriniformes; Danionidae.
GAUUGACUACAUAGUAAAGACUUUGUUUGACUUUGAAUUUGUUCAGGUGUAACAUGUUCAUUUAAUUUGCUUUUAAUGUUAAUAAGUUUUUUUUUUUACUUUUACAGUGCAGGAUGAUAAACUUUGAUAAAACCACUUUGCAAUUGUUAUUAGUAGUAGUAUUUAUAAUGUACUUUUAGUGAUAGGUUUUUGUGCAUUUUAGGGUAAAACUUAAAUAUGAAGACAGUCAUUGUAGUGUUGUCCAUCCUGGGCCUUUGUCUCGGCGCUCCUGUAAGUUUCAUGAAAACCAAUAAAUUUAAUCUAUUAAAGCAGAAUAUUGAAUCAUUCUAAACAAUGUUGUCUUUCUUCUUACAGGUGGAGCAUGAUAUGGAUAGAGAUAAUGAGCAAGAAAUUGAUGAGGGUCAGCAAUUUGCUGGUUCUCCGCUGGAUCAGACAGACCCCAUUACCAGGACAAUCCUCUACCCUGUUCCAAGAGCUGAUGGCUUCCUGGGAAACCUUUUUAUGAACCCUUUUCUAAACCCAUAUGGAUCUCACCUUUAUUACCCGCAGUACCCACUGUACUCAGGUUACCCAACUUACCCACACUACCCUGCCUAUUCACUGCCACCUGUUAUAAUACACUUGCCUCAGAGAAACCCCUGAAACUGGCAAAAUCGUAACGUCAAUUGCAUUAUCUAUACUUCAAACAGACAAAUAUUGUCUUUAUUUUGCGUAAUGCUAUGACAUAUUUGAUUUCAAUUUAUCAGACUUUACACUUGUGUUACUUUGCCUUUUUUCUUAGUUUUUCUUAUAUUUUACUAUUGUUUCUUAUUAUAUUCACCUAUUCCUGUUUGUUUUCUCCACUGUAUUUAGUAUUGCAAACUCAUUUCCCCCCCAAAAAAAAUAUUUAGAGCAACAUAUAUCUGAUUCCUUCAGCCAGAUUAAUCAAACAAACACAAUAUCUCUAUUUCCAAGAUGGUGUCAACUAGUGUGAGUAUAGCAAAGUGAUGUGGAAAAGAGCCAGUACAUGUGGAAUUUCUAUGUUGCACAAAUUGUACAAAUGUGCAAUACUCAAUAAAUAUACUAUACUAUGUUUGGUUAUGUGGGUGUGUGUGUUCUCAACAUUUGCUUGUUUAAUAAUUUCUAGACAGACCACUGUAAAGCAAACAUUACAAAACUGAAGAUAUAUUACAUAUAUAUGGGCAAUAUUACACAAGUAGCAGUGCGAUAUGGCUGUAUAUCAGCACUGGUGAGAGGCGUGCGUUGGCUCGAGUCAGCAGGCCGAGUGCUUUGGUUCCCCUCACCAAUGCCGGUAUACAGCCAUUUCGCACUGCUACAAGUGUGAUAUUGCGCUUAUACACUCUCAGAAAGUACAAGGUCC